RNAcentral lists this ribosomal RNA (375 nucleotides) under uncultured bacterium. RNAcentral describes it as "bacterial SSU rRNA". It matches the Rfam family "Bacterial small subunit ribosomal RNA", at positions 523 to 897 of the family's 1533-position model. The record is from RNAcentral.
CUACGUAGGGAGCAAGCGUUGUCCGGAUUUACUGGGUGUAAAGGGUGCGUAGGCGGCUAUGCAAGUCAGUUGUGAAAACUAUGGGCUCAACCCAUAGCCUGCGAUUGAAACUGCGUGGCUUGAGUGAAGUAGAGGUAGGUGGAAUUCCCGGUGUAGCGGUGAAAUGCGUAGAGAUCGGGAGGAACACCAGUGGCGAAGGCGACCUACUGGGCUUUAACUGACGCUGAGGCACGAAAGCAUGGGUAGCAAACAGGAUUAGAUACCCUGGUAGUCCAUGCCGUAAACGAUGAUUACUAGGUGUGGGGGGUCUGACCCCCUCCGUGCCGGAGUUAACACAAUAAGUAAUCCACCUGGGGAGUACGACCGCAAGGUUGA